GACGAACGCUGGCGGCGUGCUUAAUACAUGCAAGUCGAACGGUGAACCUCUUCGGAGGGGAUCAGUGGCGAACGGGUGAGUAACACGUGGGCAACCUGCUCCCGGCUCUGGUAUAACUCCAAGAAAUUGGGGCUAAUACCGGAUGUUCACCGCUUCCCGCAUGGGUGGUGGUGGAAAGGGUUUCGGGCUGGGGGUGGGCCCGCGGCCUAUCAGCUUGUUGGUUAGGUAGUGGCCUACCAAGGCGACGGUGCAUGGCCGGCCUGCGAGGGUGACCGGCCACACUGGGCCUGGGGAGCGGGCCAGACUGCUACGGGAGGCAGCAGUGGGGAAUAGUGCGCAAUGGGCGGAAGCCGGACGCAGCGACGCCGCGUGGGGGAUGACGGCCUUCGGGUUGGAAACCUCGUUCAGCAGGGACGAAGCGCAAGUGACGGUACCUGCAGAAGAAGCACCGGCCAACUACGUG
RNAcentral lists this ribosomal RNA (463 nucleotides) under uncultured bacterium. Its description in RNAcentral is "partial 16S ribosomal RNA". It matches the Rfam family "Bacterial small subunit ribosomal RNA", at positions 28 to 507 of the family's 1533-position model. The record is from RNAcentral.